RNAcentral lists this ribosomal RNA (253 nucleotides) under uncultured bacterium. Its description in RNAcentral is "partial 16S ribosomal RNA". It matches the Rfam family "Bacterial small subunit ribosomal RNA", at positions 524 to 776 of the family's 1533-position model. The record is from RNAcentral.
GACGAAGGGGGCUAGCGUUGUUCGGAAUUACUGGGCGUAAAGCGCGUGUAGGCGGUUGUUCAAGUCAGGUGUGAAAGCCUUGAGCUCAACUCAAGAAAUGCACUUGAUACUGGAUGACUAGAGGACCGGAGAGGAUAGUGGAAUUCCCAGUGUAGUGGUGAAAUACGUAGAGAUUGGGAAGAACACCAGUGGCGAAGGCGGGUCUCUGGGCCGAUACUGACGCUGAGGAGCGAAAGCGUGGGGAGCGAACAGG